Molecule: ribosomal RNA, 468 nt
Filed under: uncultured bacterium
Lineage: Bacteria
Description: partial 16S ribosomal RNA
Rfam family: Bacterial small subunit ribosomal RNA
Source: RNAcentral
GACGAACGCUGGCGGCGUGCUUAACACAUGCGAGUCGAACGGAAAGGCCCUGCUUUUGUGGGGUGCUCGAGUGGCGAACGGGUGAGUAACACGUGAGUAACCUGCCCUUGACUUUGGGAUAACUUCAGGAAACUGGGGCUAAUACCGGAUAGGAGCUCCUGCUGCAUGGUGGGGGUUGGAAUGUUUCGGCGGUUGGGGAUGGACUCGCGGCUUAUCAGCUUGUUGGUGGGGUAGUGGCUUACCAAGGCUUUGACGGGUAGCCGGCCUGAGAGGGUGACCGGCCACAUUGGGACUGAGAUACGGCCCAGACUCCUACGGGAGGCAGCAGUGGGGAAUAUUGCACAAUGGGCGGAAGCCUGAUGCAGCAACGCCGCGUGCGGGAUGACGGCCUUCGGGUUGUAAACCGCUUUCGCCUGUGACGAAGCGUGAGUGACGGUAAUGGGUAAAGAAGCACCGGCUAACUACGUG